AACGAACGCUGGCGGCAUGCCUAACACAUGCCAGUCGAACGAGACCUUCGGGUCUAGUGGCGCACGGGUGCGUAACGCGUGGGAACCUGCCCUUAGGUUCGGAAUAACUCCCCGAAAGGGGUGCUAAUACCGGAUAAUGUCUUCGGACCAAAGAUUUAUCGCCUUUGGAUGGGCCCGCGUUGGAUUAGCUAGUUGGUAGGGUAAAAGCCUACCAAGGCGACGAUCCAUAGCUGGUCUGAGAGGAUGAUCAGCCACACUGGGACUGAGACACGGCCCAGACUCCUACGGGAGGCAGCAGUGGGGAAUAUUGGACAAUGGGCGAAAGCCUGAUCCAGCAAUGCCGCGUGAGUGAUGAAGGCCUUAGGGUUGUAAAGCUCUUUUACCCGGGAUGAUAUUGACAGUACCGGGAGAAUAAGCGCCGGCUAACUCCGUG
Molecule: ribosomal RNA, 433 nt
Filed under: uncultured bacterium
Lineage: Bacteria
Description: partial 16S ribosomal RNA
Rfam family: Bacterial small subunit ribosomal RNA
Source: RNAcentral